CAUGAACUGUUGUACUUUGGUAGAUGACUUGCGCCUUUCAAGUCGGAUUACGUUUAUCCAUGUUGUCAUAAGACAAGUAGUAGCAAGCAAUCACGUGAUCAAACAUGGCACCGUAAUCAAACCAUCCUCAGUUCAUUUCCAUUCAUUGCUUAACAAGCUCAAUUCAGGUGAUGUGUAAAGAGCAAGUGUGAAACAAAAAAGAACACCACCAAAGAUUCAGGGUGUCACAUUUUAUCAUCAACACAGAUUCCUGAGCUCGCAUUAAUUUCGUGACACUUUUAGACUAGACCCUCACACUCUCAUUAAAUUGGUGACGCAUUAAUUUCACGAUAUACAGUAUCUAAAAUAGUUGAAACAUUUAGAAG
Long non-coding RNA from Haliotis rubra (blacklip abalone), 365 nucleotides. RefSeq lists it as uncharacterized. The transcript is spliced from 3 exons. The record is from RefSeq and is a predicted model, not a curated record. Lineage: Eukaryota; Metazoa; Mollusca; Gastropoda; Lepetellida; Haliotidae.